This is a long non-coding RNA of Lethenteron reissneri (Far Eastern brook lamprey), 1241 nucleotides long. RefSeq lists it as uncharacterized. Lineage: Eukaryota; Metazoa; Chordata; Hyperoartia; Petromyzontiformes; Petromyzontidae. The record is from RefSeq and is a predicted model, not a curated record.
CAACACCACGCCUGACUGCCUUCGGACUCCCCAGUGGCGAUGUUUUUACACAUCGCACCAGGGGGGCAGUGUGGGGGAGGGGAGGCCCUCACCAUCAUCCGUGGCCAGGAAGGUGGCCGUGUAGGUGUUGGCCCGCACCAGGGCCGCCUCGCGGUCAAGCACCACGGCCGUGGUCACCUUGCCGCUCACAGGGUCGAUGUCCAGCCAGUCGCCCGGCACAGAAAGCUUCUUGUAGCUGCGCGCGGCCCCAGCACGCAGACACACGCGCACACAGCACCAACUGAACUGUGUGGCCGUCCCUUCAGGCAGCGAUGGACAGAAGAAGAGACGACGACAAUAGAGCAACCAUCCUGCAGCAAAAGUGACUCGUCAACAACCAUUCAAACACACGAGACGCACACGAGACACGCAUGACACACACAUUACACGAGACCCGCACCACAAAGACACGCAGGAGAUAGGCACAACACACGCAACAACAGAACAACUCGACGUGACACGCGCAGCGCACACACAAAAGAACGCGACGGAACGAAAACUGCGCGACGCACACUGCGGCACCACCGCCCACCCCACCACUCCCCCCCCAAACUCACAAACCCCCACCACCCAUCCUCACCCUCCACUGCCUGCCCAGACCUGAGAAAAGCAUCUCGAACCCACUGCAGUGUCGGCAAUUCCUCUCUCGCCCGCCCGCCGCUAACUCAGGGGGAUUUAUAGAGAUUUAAGCACGGCCCUGGCGCCUCUUAAUGGGCAAGUGAAUCACAGAGGAGCCAAGAGGGCACACGAUGCUGGGAAUCCGUGUGAGUCAUCCGACCACACACACGCAGACAAUGAGGGAUUGGGGGGGCAUCAUCAACGGUGGUUGAUGGCGGUGAUGUCACAAUUGCUGAUCUUGCUGCUGCCCACUGGAGGGGGGUGGGGGAUUAGGCCUUCGAUGAUGUCACCCCCACCACCACCGUGGAAGCCCGGUGAAAAGGGCACUUUGUUGAAGAGGUUCACGGUUCGGAGCCCGGCGGGCGCCCUGGUGAACCCCUCGCGGGGUCACCGCAGUACGAACCUGACGGUUAAUACUGGUCACCACCAGCACGCACCCCGUCGGCUGAGCGGCACACGUCAAAGGGUUCCGACGUAUGCAUGUGUGUUGAACGUCUUUCGCACCGUACGUAUCCAACCGCACUAAUCGGAGGUGGGGGCAGGGGGGGACAAACUAAACGCAAAGAGCGGUUCGAGAGAAACGA